GAUGAACGCUGGCGGCGUGCUUAACACAUGCAAGUCGAACGGAAAGGCUCCUGCUUGCAGGGGUACUCGAGUGGCGAACGGGUGAGUAACACGUGGGUGAUCUGCCCAGCACUUCGGGAUAAGCCUGGGAAACUGGGUCUAAUACCGGAUAGGACGAUGGUUUGGAUGCCAUUGUGGAAAGUUUUUUCGGUGUGGGAUGAGCUCGCGGCCUAUCAGCUUGUUGGUGGGGUAAUGGCCUACCAAGGCGUCGACGGGUAGCCGGCCUGAGAGGGUGUACGGCCACAUUGGGACUGAGAUACGGCCCAGACUCCUACGGGAGGCAGCAGUGGGGAAUAUUGCACAAUGGGCGCAAGCCUGAUGCAGCGACGCCGCGUGGGGGAUGACGGCCCUCGGGUUGUAAACUCCUUUCGCUAGGGACGAAGCGCAAGUGACGGUACCUGGAGAAGAAGCACCGGCUAACUACGUG
RNAcentral lists this ribosomal RNA (466 nucleotides) under uncultured bacterium. RNAcentral's name for it is "partial 16S ribosomal RNA". It matches the Rfam family "Bacterial small subunit ribosomal RNA", at positions 28 to 507 of the family's 1533-position model. The record is from RNAcentral.